AAUAAAAAGAAAUCCUCUUUGGAUUCAGAUUUGAAUUUUGCUCUGUUUUGGAUUUUAAUUUUUUUUCUUCUUCAGGGGAUAUUACAGAUGCAGCACUUCUAAAGCAUGUAUGGCCCGGAAGCAAGUGGAGCGGAACAGAUCCGACCCGGGAAUGUUCAUCGUCACCUACACGGCGGAGCAUAACCACCCGGCUCCCACCCACCGCAACUCCCUAGCCGCAACCUCACGCCCUAAGGGGUCGCACCACCCGCCAUAAGGGCUCGUCUUCCGCCAACACCCCUACCACUCCUCCGCAGAGCGGUGGCGAAUCGGACUCGUCGGAGAAGCCGUGCUCCGACGGCACGAACAGGCCCACCUGUUCUUCGCCGAUGACCCCGGCGGAGGAAGACGACCUAUUCCUCGAUUUCACGGGGGCGGAGAGCAGGGGAGAAGAGCCUAAUUUCGACGUAAUCGACGAGGAGGAAGAUGAAGGGAACGUUGGCGGCGGUGGGUUCUCACCGGAAGACGGUGGUCCUGGUGAUGAUUUCUUUGUGGGUUUAGAGGAACUGACUCAGCUCAGUAGUAUAGCUGCUUCCGGAGAUCGUUUCUCCGGUGAGUUCCCGACGAGCUUUGGGUUUCCUAGGCUUGCUACCGCCGGCAGCGUCUGAGACUACUAGAAAGAAAGGGUUUUUACUAAAAAACAAUGGCGUUAUUUGUUAAAUUUAAUCUCUGGUUCUUAUUAUUAUUAUGAAACUGACCGUAUAGAGUUUUGUUGUUUUUUCUGUAUUUUUCUCUCCGGUGUACCGUACAGAGAUGAUGUAUUGUUUUGUUUUAGAGGCAGCCGACUGGUAAUGGGAAAAUGAUUGGUUGUAGAAAAAAGAGGAAAGAAGUGAAAAGUAAAAGAAGAAUAGAGAGUGCUGGAAUGAAGCCAAAAGAGAUUUUAUGAUUCCAUUUUCAGAGGAGAGUGAGAGUGGGGUUUCUUAGUUGAGAGAGAAUACAGACAUAUUCUUCCUCUUUUUUGUUAAGAUCCUAUAUUCUCUCUUCUUUAGAGGGAUGA
RNAcentral lists this long non-coding RNA (1036 nucleotides) under Linum usitatissimum (flax). Its description in RNAcentral is "long non-coding RNA (LUSI_LNC007002)". Lineage: Eukaryota; Viridiplantae; Streptophyta; Magnoliopsida; Malpighiales; Linaceae. The record is from RNAcentral.